Lolium rigidum is the source of this 684-nucleotide long non-coding RNA. RefSeq lists it as uncharacterized. The transcript is spliced from 5 exons. The record is from RefSeq and is a predicted model, not a curated record. NCBI's taxonomy places the organism in Eukaryota, Viridiplantae, Streptophyta, Magnoliopsida, Poales, Poaceae.
AAGUACGCUUAGUGAGCAGACCAAAAGAUACAAUAAAGCAUCAUCAUGACUGCGAGGGUAGCAAUGAAUUCUCAUAUCAAGGACAAUCAUCACCAACACCUCCUUUUCCUGAAGAACGGGAGCACAUGAGAAAGAGCGGUGAGAAUCUGGAUGAAAAUUCGAGAAGAGUGCACAAACAAAUGACUCAAAACAAGACUCCAAGCCAUAUGUCCUCAAAGAAGAGAUGUCGUCCUUCGGAAGAGUAAUUUUGAAAUCUUCAAUAUAUCCAAAUAAAAGGCGCGUGGCAUAUGCAACUAUUUUGGAUAGUAAUUCAAAAACAUUGGUUGGUGGUGUUGAGCUGGGCCGACAAUUUACACAUGUGCAAAUUGAUGAACCUAUUGGCGAAGAUGAGCGCUUGGUAAGAGAAAGGGAGAAGUGUAUGACAAUCGGUGAUGCUUUUUCCUCUGGAGUAACAAUUGCUUGGCCUUCAGCAUGUAUUGAGAAGUUCAGUGGAUGACUUGAGAGUUGAUAUUGAUGCUUUGUCUAACGAUGGAGUGAAGAUGGAAAAUAUGUAGGAUUGGUCUGAGAAAUAUCGAAGGGCAGAUUGGAGCAGCCAUGAUUGGUGUUUUUGCAUAGUCACGAUGAUAUUAAGUAUUUCAUGUAUUAUAGGUUAGCUUAGUAUGUUGAGAAAUGUAGUAGUUUUUC